RNAcentral lists this ribosomal RNA (250 nucleotides) under uncultured bacterium. RNAcentral's name for it is "partial 16S ribosomal RNA". It matches the Rfam family "Bacterial small subunit ribosomal RNA", at positions 30 to 290 of the family's 1533-position model. The record is from RNAcentral.
AUUGAACGCUGGCGGCAUGCCUUACACAUGCAAGUCGAACGGGGGUAGCAAUACCCUAGUGGCGAACGGGUGAGUAAAGCAUCGGAACGUACCCAGUUGUGGGGGAUAACGUAGCGAAAGUUACGCUAAUACCGCAUACGCACUGAGGUGGAAAGCGGGGGAUCGCAAGACCUCGCGCAAUUGGAGCGGCCGAUGUCGGAUUAGCUAGUUGGUAGGGUAAAAGCCUACCAAGGCGACGAUCCGUAGCUGG